RNAcentral lists this small RNA (599 nucleotides) under Pongo abelii (Sumatran orangutan). RNAcentral describes it as "processed transcript". Lineage: Eukaryota; Metazoa; Chordata; Mammalia; Primates; Hominidae. The record is from RNAcentral.
AGAAGCACAAGGCUGCCGUGGCUCAGGCUUCCCGGGACCUGGCUCAGAUAAAUGAUCUCCAAGCUCAGCUAGAAGAAGCCAACAAAGAGAAGCAGGAGCUGCAGGAGAAGCUACAAGCCCUCCAGAGCCAGGUGGAGUUCCUGGAGCAGUCCAUGGUGGACAAGUCCCUGGUGAGCAGGCAGGAAGCUAAGAUACGGGAGCUGGAGACACGCCUGGAGUUUGAAAGGACGCAAGUGAAACGGCUGGAGAGCCUGGCUAGCCGUCUCAAGGAAAACAUGGAGAAGCUGACUGAGGAGCGGGAUCAGCGCAUUGCAGCCGAGAACCGGGAGAAGGAACAGAACAAGAGGCUACAGAGGCAGCUCCGGGACACCAAGGAGGAGAUGGGCGAGCUUGCCAGGAAGGAGGCCGAGGCGAGCCGCAAGAAGCACGAACUGGGGAAAAGCUAGCCUUCCUGCAAACUGGGCUGCCCCCUUCCUCCUAGGAGAUGGAUCUAGAAAGCCUGGAGGCUGCUAACCAGAGCCUGCAGGCUGACCUAAAGCUGGCAUUCAAGCGCAUUGGGGACCUGCAGGCCGCCAUCGAGGAUGAGAUGGAGAGUGAUG